Molecule: long non-coding RNA, 273 nt
Filed under: Nicotiana benthamiana
Lineage: Eukaryota; Viridiplantae; Streptophyta; Magnoliopsida; Solanales; Solanaceae
Description: long non-coding RNA (NBEN_LNC035611)
Source: RNAcentral
GAAAUUCCCCCUUGAUGCAAUAAGGUUUCGUGCUUGGUGCAUAUACUACGAUAUUGUAGUCUUCAAGCACAUCUGCAAACGUACCUAAAAAUAGGUUUUAGGUACCCAAACACUUUUGGGUUCUUGGGGGUUAGGCAAAUAAUAAUCAUAGCUAAAAGAUAAAUCCCUAUGUUUUGCAAAACAUACGGGUGCUAUGUGUCCUACCCGGUUGCAAUAAUGACAUAUAACAUUCGGGUUGUGCAUAUGUCUUGGUUGAGCCAAGAACGUUCUAGG